GGCGACGAUCAGUAGCCGGUCUGAGAGGAUGAACGGCCACAUUGGAACUGAGACACGGUCCAGACUCCUACGGGAGGCAGCAGUGGGGAAUCUUCCGCAAUGGGCGCAAGCCUGACGGAGCAACGCCGCGUGAGUGAAGAAGGGUUUCGACUCGUAAAGCUCUGUUGUCGGGGACGAACGUGGAGACGGCGAAUAGCCGUUUCCAAUGACGGUACCUGACGAGGAAGCCACGGCUAACUACGUGCCAGCAGCCGCGGUAAUACGUAGGUGGCGAGCGUUGUCCGGAAUUAUUGGGCGUAAAGGGAGCGCAGGCGGGAAGGUAAGUCUAUCUUAAAAGUGCGGGGCUCAACCCCGUGAGGGGAUGGAAACUAUCUUUCUUGAGUGCAGGAGAGGAAAGCGGAAUUCCUAGUGUAGCGGUGAAAUGCGUAGAUAUUAGGAGGAACACCAGUGGCGAAGGCGGCUUUCUGGACUGUAACUGACGCUGAGGCUCGAAAGCGGGGGGAGCGAACAGGAUUAGAUACCCUGGUAGUCCACGCCGUAAACGAUGAAUGCUAGGUGUAGGAGGUAUCGACCCCUUCUGUGCCGGAGUUAACGCAAUAAGCAUUCCGCCUGGGGAGUACGGCCGCAAGGCUGAAACUCAAAGGAAUUGACGGGGGCCCGCACAAGCGGUGGAGUAUGUGGUUUAAUUCGACGCAACGCGAAGAACCUUACCAGGGCUUGACAUUGAGUGAAAGGACAAGAGAUUGUCCCCUCUCUUCGGAGACACGAAAACAGGUGGUGCAUGGCUGUCGUCAACUCGUGUCGUGAGAUGUUGGGUUAAGUCCCGCAACGAGCGCAACCCCUAUCCUUUGUUGCCAGCACGCAAUGGUGGGAACUCAAAGGAGACUGCCGCGGACAACGCGGAGGAAGGCGGGGAUGACGUCAAGUCAUCAUGCCCCUUAUGUCCUGGGCUACACACGUACUACAAUGGGAUGGACAGAGAGCAGCGAAGCCGCGAGGCCAAGCGAACCCCAUAAACCAUCUCCCAGUUCGGAUUGCAGGCUGCAACCCGCCUGCAUGAAGUUGGAAUCGCUAGUAAUCGCAGGUCAGCAUACUGCGGUGAAUACGUUCCCGGGCCUUGUACACACCGCCCGUCACACCACGGAAGUCAUUCACACCCGAAGCCGGCAGGCUAACCUUUAUGGAGGCAGCCGUCUAAGGUGGGGGCGAUGACUGGGGUGAAGUCGUAACAAGGUA
RNAcentral lists this ribosomal RNA (1236 nucleotides) under metagenome. RNAcentral's name for it is "bacterial SSU rRNA". It matches the Rfam family "Bacterial small subunit ribosomal RNA", at positions 272 to 1498 of the family's 1533-position model. The record is from RNAcentral.